UCCGGAGGGCGCAAGCGUUAUCCGGAAUCACUGGGUUUAAAGGGUGCGUAGGCGGCUAAAUAAGUCAGAGGUGAAAGCUUGCAGCUUAACUGCGAAAUUGCCUUUGAUACUGUAUAGCUUGAAAGGAGCUGAGGUCAGCAGAAUGUGGCAUGUAGCGGUGAAAUGCAUAGAUAUGCCAUAGAAUACCAAUUGCGAAGGCAGCUGGCUGGGCUUACUUUGACGCUGAGGCACGAAAGCGUGGGGAUAGAACAGG
Molecule: ribosomal RNA, 253 nt
Filed under: uncultured bacterium
Lineage: Bacteria
Description: partial 16S ribosomal RNA
Rfam family: Bacterial small subunit ribosomal RNA
Source: RNAcentral